UACGACUACAUAUCAGGCAUAUCAAUAAGCGGAGGAAAAGAAACUAACAAGGAUUCCCCUAGUAACGGCGAGUGAAGCGGGAAGAGCUCAAAUUUGAAAUCUUAAAGGUUUUCCCUUGACGAAUUGUAGUUUAAAGAAGUGUUUUCUGUUGAAGUUUCGGUAAAAGUUCUUUGGAAUAGGACAUCAUAGAGGGUGAGAAUCCCGUAUUUGACCGUUACUUUUCCAGCUGUGUGAUACACUUUCAAAGAGUCGGAUUGUUUGGGAAUGCAGUCCAAGAUGGGUGGUAAAUUUCAUCUAAAGCUAAAUAUUGGCGAGAGACCGAUAGCGAACAAGUACCGUGAGGGAAAGAUGAAAAGAACUUUGAAAAGAGAGUUAAACAGUACGUGAAAUUGUCAAAAGGGAAGCGUUUGACACCAGUGUUGUUUUCUCGAAAAUCAAUUGAAAAAUGGCUGGAUUUUGUGUUGUAUUGACUUUAUCAAGCUUUCUUCACUCUUUUCAUUGUCUUUUUUAAUGCACUUUUCGUUUAACAAGUCAACAUCAGUUUCUUUUGUUGUAAAAGGGUCAUUGGAAGGUGGCUUUCCUUUCGGAGAAAGUGUUUAUAGCCUUUGCCUCUGCAAUCGGAGAGAUUGAGGUCUGCAGCGUAGAUCCUUCUGGAUUAGAUACAUUUGUGCUAAGUUAUAACCGUUUCAUAGACAACUUGUUGACUAUGAUUCGAUCAUGUAGCUUACUCGCUUAUGCUAUUUUACCUACGCUUAGGAUGUUGAGCGCAUGUCUCUCUCU
Molecule: ribosomal RNA, 780 nt
Filed under: uncultured Neocallimastigales
Lineage: Eukaryota; Fungi; Neocallimastigomycota; Neocallimastigomycetes; Neocallimastigales
Description: partial large subunit ribosomal RNA
Rfam family: Eukaryotic large subunit ribosomal RNA
Source: RNAcentral